RNAcentral lists this unclassified non-coding RNA (162 nucleotides) under plant metagenome. RNAcentral describes it as "partial contains small subunit ribosomal RNA and internal transcribed spacer 1". The stretch from base 1 to 46 matches the Rfam family "Eukaryotic small subunit ribosomal RNA", at positions 1786 to 1831 of the family's 1831-position model. The record is from RNAcentral.
AAGUCGUAACAAGGUUUCCGUAGGUGAACCUGCGGAAGGAUCAUUAGUGAACGGCCGGGAGGCCUUAAACCCAACAAACCUCGGUGAACAGCGCCUUCGGGCAUGCCCUCGGGCGAUUUACAAACAAAGAAGUCCAGAACGUGAAACAUUAAAGAAACAUAA